GCUGAUUCGGUCAGUGAUAAUGCACAAAGUGUUUGUGAGCCAAGUGUCAGGAUCUGUAUCGUGGUGAAAAGUAAUCAAGUUGACCAAGGGUAAGGAAGGAGCCCCGACACGCGUUUCGCCAGUUGGGUGGCUCUUCAGGGCUCUACCUUCACCAACUUAACCUAUAAUUCAGGGUAAACUUUAGCAUUUUUGUACAUCGUUUUGUAUACUUCUUUUUUAUUUACUUCUGUUUUCACCACUGUAUAUAUAUAUGUAUAUAUAUUUUUUGCUAAUGGCUAAUGCAUAUAUUGUUUUCAAUAAACAUUAAGAUGUCUAACUUGUCUGCUUUUAUUUUUUGUUCCCUUGCUGAGUUCCAGG
This is a non-coding RNA of Pelobates cultripes (western spadefoot toad), 357 nucleotides long. Lineage: Eukaryota; Metazoa; Chordata; Amphibia; Anura; Pelobatidae. The record is from the annotation of a GenBank genome assembly.